This 34681-nucleotide long non-coding RNA is filed under the name Malus domestica (apple). RNAcentral describes it as "long non-coding RNA (MDOM_LNC004902)". The record is from RNAcentral. Lineage: Eukaryota; Viridiplantae; Streptophyta; Magnoliopsida; Rosales; Rosaceae.
UAACGUUGACAAGAGAUGGUGUCAUAUUGCGCACAUUUUUGGAAUAUUGACGGAUUCCAGGUUAAUCAAUAUAUUUAUCAUUGUUAAAAAUAGUGAAGGGGAAGAUCAAUCGGCCAAAAUAACCAUGAGCGGCUACGAUAUUGUAGGUUUCUUCCUCUGGGAAAAAAAAAAUUUUAAUUCUAGUUCCAGUGAAUCCACCUUCUUUUCUAAUAGCACGCCGGUUACGUAGCACUAUCAAGCUUUUUGUUUUUGCAGUUUUAUUUUUGUUAUUGCUGGCAUGCUGGAUUGUGCUGUAAAUGCUCUAAUCAUGUGUGAUGUAGGAUAUGGAUCAGGAGAGUAAGGAUUACUACUUUUCUGGCCCUGGGGAGUUCGGCCUCAACCCUAUCAGGACUGGGUCAUCACAAGGAGGUGGCUUUUCCCAGAAGAGCCGCCCUUUUUACUUUCGACGAUUCUGUUCCUAAACACCACUCCCAGCCUUCAAUUCAGGAUACUCACCGCAAAGGUACAAGGAUAGCUCAGAACCUUCAUUUGACACCUUCUCUAGGUUUGAUUCGUUCAGAAGCAUACAAGAUACUGGAUUUUUUCGUCAACCAGAAACACUCGGAAGAUUUGAUUCUAUGCGCGGCAGUAGAGAUUUUGAUCAGGGUCAUGGUUUUCCAACAUGAUCCGGACCUUUAAAAUUUUAAAGACCCGAAUCAUUUGAUCCUUGGAUUCUGAAUGUUUAGGUCCGGAGAGGAUCUCUUCCCCUUAUUUGUUAGUCCAAGCCUUGCCUAUUUGUCAGUCUUUUCUCUUGGACAGACAAGUGAGCUAUCAAAGUACAAAUUCGGCAUUCAUUAUACUUUCUUUUUAAUACAGCAUUCAUUACUUGUAUCCCCGGGAAGCUCAGAAAACUCACAAAGAGAUGUGCAUUCAUCCAGACUUUCAGCUUACACAUGUAAACCACUGUAUUGUAAAUUUAAGUAUUUAAUAUUUCUUGCCAUCUCUGGAAGAUACUUGAGACUGGUGCAGCCUCCAAGAUCAAGAAGAGUGAGCUUGUCAAGAUGUUGAAAAUACCCAGGAAUUUCAACCAAACUUACACAGCCACGGAGAUUUAUGUUCACAAUUUUUAGACUCCCAGAGAGAUUUGGAACUUCAGUUAGAUAUCUAGAGUCAUGCAUAUCGAUCACUUGUAAGUUGACAAGUCUCUGUAUCAAUAGUAAAUAUAAAUAUAAAGAAUUAAUAUAAUUUCAACACUUGAUUUGAUACAAGAAUUAAAAUAGGCAUAGAAUAUAAUAUACCUGCUCUUCUUUCCAAAGCUUCUUAACUUGGCUACCUGGCAUAUGAAGCUCAACUAGAUUGUCCGGAGAAAAAUUUGACGGCAAAGAUUCCAGUGGAUAUUGAAACCAAUCAAGAUAACGAAGAGAAUCGGGAAGGUCUAGAGAAGCGUUGAAUUUGUAGCCACCAUCCACAAUUAGCAUUAUUAGGUUAGACAUCUUUUUGAAGUCUGCAUGUUUCAAUGCUUGCUCUUCAAUGUAAGGCCAAUAAACCCGUAUGGCUUCAACAUUUGGAGUUUCCUGAGAAUAAGAAAAAAGUUUAAAUGUGAAUAUAAACAUAUUAAAAUGUAACGCAGAUUUGGAACAAAGAGUAUUUGUGAUGGUAAUCAUGUACAAGGUGUCUUAGUCUAGUCAAAUAUCCAACAUAAUUGUAUCCUCCUCUACUUGUCUAAAUAAACAAACAUUUGUUCAUAUUCCAAACACUUCCUAACACAAUAAAUAUUCAAUCAAAUUCAUCUUUUAACAAUCUCACUUCUUUAUUAUAAAUUAGUUUUACUUUGUUGUGUUAUCAUCUCAAGUUUGUAAAUUUUAUUUUCUAAAAAAAAGAAAAGAAAAAAAUUGAAUGCAUUUGGCUCUUACCGUGUUACUCCUCAAUACACGACAGACAUCCUCAUCAUUGAACAACCUACUCCGUUUACCGGGAUCUUUCAUACCUUGUUUUUGAACAAUUUUCCUUCCCAUUUCUUGUAGCAAAUCGUGCAUCUCUAUGGUUUCCCUUCCCCCUUUUGAAUCAAUUGAUAUGAGAGACAUCUCAAUGAGAAUUCUAAUUCCAGAUGUCGCAAACAAUCCACGAACAACUAACAUUCGUUUUACCUCAACCAGAGACUUCCCUUUAUGAAAACAUGCUAUAUCCAGAAAUAUCUCCUUCUCAUUUUCUCUCAAUCUAUCAAAACUUAUUCUCAACACUUUCUGAAUAUCUUCACUGGGAUAUCGUUUCAAUUUGUUAAAUUCAUCUUCCCAUUCUUCUUUGCUCUUGCAAUUGAAGAACAAGGACCCCAGAACUGUAAGAGCUAAAGGAAUGCCUUUGGCAUAAGCCACCGCCUUUUCUGCCAAGUCUUUAUAAUCUGUUCUACGAGUACUAUUAUCCUUGAAAGCACGCAAAUAGAAGAGCUGAAGAGCGUCAUCCGAUUUUAAUCCCUCAACAUAGUAGAUCUUAGCCUCGUCAACAAUUUUCCCAAGUGUGCCCCUAUCUCUACUUGUGAUAAUGAUUCUACUUCCACUGCCAUACCGGAGAUGAUCGCCAACUAAACGUUCCAUUUGCCAUGAAUCACCCACGUCAUCUAGAACAAUGAGGACCUUUGUACGACUGAGCCUUUCUUGAAAAGUUGAUCCUACGGGCAAAAAAACUUCUUCCUUUAAUAUCUCCUUAAAAAGUGUUUUUUCCAAGUGAUCUAGUCCACCUGCUUGUUCUGAGUUCUCCCUAACAUUCUUAAGAAAACAACAGGCUUCAAAUUUAGAAGAGAGUCUGUGAAAUACGGCUUCAGCAAGGGUGGUCUUGCCAAUACGGCCCAUGCCCCAAAUACCUACAGAUAAGCAAGUGUCCUGUGAAUGAAUGUAUAAUAGUGAUUCGAUCUGCUCGAUGCAGCUUUCAAUUCCAACAAAGCCCUUUAAAGAGAAAGAACCGAGAGAGCUGGAAGGCAAUUUUUUAAAUUCCGGACAGGCAUACAAGUCGAGACUUGUUAGGACAUCCUUAAGGUGCUUGCAGCCACUAAGGUAUAAAGUUUGAAGCCUAAUUAGAUUUCCAAUAGACAAAGGGAGCCUUUCGACAGCUGUCCCUUGCAAACUAAGAGACACCAAAUGUUCCAUUGGCUCCAAGAUCUCUGGGAAGUUUUCAAGUUCAGAGCAGCCAGAGAGAUUGAGUUCCUCCAGAUAUUUCAACUUACAAAUGUUGGUUGGUAGACUCACAAGUCUCUUGCAAUCAACCAAUGAUAAUUUACUUAUAUCCCUGGGAAGCUCAGAAAACUCGCCAAGAGAAGUGCAGCCAUCUAGAUUAAAACAACCAGAGACUUUCAGCUUACACUUGUUGCUUGGAAGUUUCUCAAGGUCUUUGCAAUGCCAUAUUCUCAACUGAGAAAUAUUUUCGUGAGACCAAACUGAUUCAGGCAACUCCUUUAUACCACUUUCAGGUAAAAAUAAGAAUUCAAUAUUUUUUGGCAUCUCUGGAAGAUACUUGAGACUGGUGCAAAGUCCAACAUCAAGAUGAGUAAGCUUGUCAAGAUGUUGAAAAUAUAAAGGAAUUUCAACCAAACUUCUACAGUUAGAAAGAUUUAUGUGCCUAAUUUUUGGACUCCCAAAGAGAUUUGGGACCUCCAUUAGAUAUAUACAGUCAUGCAGAUCUAUCACUUCUAAGUUCAUAAGUCUCUGUAACAAGAGUAAAGAGAAAUAUCAAGAAUUAAUAAACGUGACUUAAUUUCAUAAAAGAAUUAAAAUAGGCAUAUAAUAUACCUGGUCUUUUUUCCAAAGCUUUUUAACUUGGCUAUAUGGCAUAUGAAGCUCAACUAGAUUUUCCGGAGAAAAAUUGACGGCAAAGAUUCCAGUAGAUAUCCCCACCAGUAAAGAUAACGAAGAGAAUUGGGAAGGUUUAGAGAAGUUGUGAUUUUGCGGGGAUGGCCAGGAUAGUAAUCAACAAUUAGCAAUUUUAGGUUAGACAUCACUUUGAAGUCUGCACAUUCAAAUGGUUGCUCUGUACACCGAGACCAAUUAAACUUUAUGGCUCGAACAUUUGGAGUCUCCUGACAAUGAGAGCAAAGUUUAAAUGUGAAUAUAUAUAAAUAUAUAUAUAUAUAUGUAUUUAUAUUGAACAUGUUAAAAUGUAAUGCACAUUUGGAAAAAGAAUUCUAAAAAGUUAUAGAAUAAUCUAAAAGUGUUUGAAAAAGAGCAGUGUGUAUAUAUCGAUUUACAUAGCUUUACAUGAGAGAGUUGUACAAGUAAUGAACUCUUACAAAAUAAUUAAGAAUAUCUGAAAGAUUAUUAUCCUAACGAGUUUCAGAUUUCAAAUUCCAAUGGGCAUCAAGAUUAGAUGCUGCAGUAGAUGCUUUAUCAUAAUCUUAAGAGUAUUUGCGAUGGUAAUGAUGUAAAAGUGUCUAGUUAAAUAUCCAAGAUAAUUGUAACAAAAUAAUAUAAAUGAGUUUUACUUUGGUGUGUUAUAAUCUAAAGUUUGCUAUUUGUUUUUUUCUUAAAAAUAGAAAAGAAAAAAAAUUCAAUGCAUUUGGCUCUUACCGUGUUACUUUUCAAUACAUGACAAACAUCCUCAUCGUUGAACAACCUACUACGUUUACCGGGAUCUUCAAUACCUUGUCCCAGAACAAUUGUCCUUCCCAUUUCUUCAAGCAGAUCAUGCAUCUCUAUAGUUUCUCGUCCCCAUUUUGAAUGAACUGAUAUGAGAGACAUAUCAAUGAGAACUUUAAUUCUGGCUGCCACAGAGCGUGAACGGAUAGCUAAUCUUUUUUUUACCUCAUUCACAUUCAUCCCUUUAUGAAAACAUGCUAUAUCCAAAAAUAUCUCCUUCUCAAUACUUCCCAAUCGAUCAUAACUUAGUUUCAACACUCUUUGAACACCUUCAUUGGGACCUUCUUCCAAUUUGUCCAAUUCAUCUUUCCAGUCUUCCAUGCUCUUGCAACAUAGGAAUGAGGACUCCAGAAGCUUAAGAGCUAAAGGAACGCCUCUGGCGUAAUAAACCGCCUUUUCUGCCAACUCCUUAAAAUCUGUUCCGGGAGUACUGUUAUUUUUGAAAGCACGCAAAUAGAAGAACUGAAGAGCGUCAUCUGGUUUUAAUCCCUCAACCUCGUAGAUCUUACCUUCUUCAACAGUAAGUGUUCUCCUAUCUCUACUUGUGAUAAUGAUUCUACUUCCAGUGCCAAACCGAAGACUAUUCCCAGCUAAACGUUCUAUUUGCUUUGAAUCACUCACAUCAUCUAGAACAAUGAGGACCUUUGUACGACCGAGCCAUCUACGAACAACUUUUGAUUCUGUGGGCAGAACUUCUUCCUUUAAUAUCUCCUUAAGAAGUGUUUUUUCCAAGUGAUCUAGCCCUUCGUUUUGUUCUCUCUCCGUCACAUUUCUAAGAAAACAAGAACCUUCGAAUUCAGAAGAGAGUCUGUGAAAUACAGUUUCAGCAAGGGUGGUCUUGCCAAUACCGCCCAUGCCCCAUAUACCUACAGUGAUGCAAUCGUCUGGUGAAUCAAUGCCUAAUAGCAAUUCGAUCUGCUCGAUGCGGCUUUUAAUUCCAACAAGGCCCUUUAAAUCGCAGGAUGAUUGGCAACACAAUUUAGUCCAAAUAUCCUUCACAACAUUCUUUACUAAUUUGGCAUCCGUCCUGGCAUAUAUAUGUACAUAUGAUUAUGAAGGAAAGCAAUAGUUAAUCUUAGAUAUACCUUACAAAAUCUUAGCAGAAAUCAAAUCGUCAUAAGUUUAAAGAAAAUUUAAAAUUUUGUACGCGUUAAUUAAAGAGUUAGUUUGUUACCCAGCAUUUUUUGGAUGAGGAAACCCAGAUCUUUUGGCUGCCUUCGUCAAAGCCUCUUUCCACUCUUUCACCUUGUCGAUACUUUGGUGUUGAGCCAAUGCAGCCGCAUAACUCCCCUGUUGUUCUCGUACAUCCGAUGCAUUGGUGUGGUAAAAAAUGGGUAUCACGAAAUCGCCUCGUCUUUUUUCGUUGCAUUCGAUUAUACGCACAAGCUCAUCCAAACACCAUGCGGAAGUAGCAUAGUUUUGUGAGAAAAUGAUCACCCAAAACUUGGAUUUCUCGAUUGCCUUCAGAAGAGCAGGUCCGAUUUCUUCUCCUCUCUGAAGUCUGUUAUCUAUGUACGUAUCAAUUUUCCUCCGAACUAAGGCUUCAUGAAGAUGGCAGGUAAAAGUAUUACGGGUAUCCUUUCCUCUGAAGCUGAUAAACACAUCAUAUUUUUCUAGACUUGGGGGGAUAUCAGCAUCAUCAUCAUCAUCAGCUACAGCAGAAUCAGCUCCAACAGAAUCAGCCGCAGAAGACGAGGAAGAAAAUGUUAAUGAUCUGCAGCACAUGUAAAACAGAGUCCCGAUGGCGAUGACGAUGAUGUUGAAAACUAGAACAAACCCAAUCAACUCCAUCCCUCUUAUCUCUAUCAACCGAGCCGCCAGGUUUGAGAAUAAGGUGGGAUCCCUGAAUGUAGUGGCCGGUGAAUCACUGAUCAAAGAACGAGCAGCCGCCAGGUUUAAUGAUUUGGUGGGAUCCACAGAUGUAGUGGCUGGUGAACCGCUUCUUCUUCUUCCGCGAAGAUUCAGACAACCGAGCUUGGAUGGAACUGAACAAGAUUUGGCGAACGAAUACAAAGGACCGAGUGGUAAAGCCAUGAUCCGCAGGGGAACGGAUCACUCAUUCUUCCAUUGGGGACAGGUGCACGAACGACAACUAGAUCUGUUAUACAGGCGAUUUAGCUACUUUCUUUCAACCCUGGUAUUAGGUGAGGGGAUACACGCAGAACCGUCAGAGAGAUCAGAGUUUACCAAAGAAAAAUGGGAAAAAUGUAUGAAAACUUUAGUUUUAACAGUAAAGAAAAAAUAAAGGAUAAAAUGAAUAGUAUUAGGAUUGAUUUUUUAAGGUAAAAAUAUAAUUUUUCGUUAAAAUAAAUAAUACCGAAAAUUUUUCGUUAAAGUUUUUUAUAAAAUUUGAAAUUGUAGUUCUUAUUAGGUAUGUGCACAAAAUUACAAAGGCACUGGGGAGGACAAAAAUUGAAAAAUUGGAGAGAAGGAUUAGUCACUUUUACAUACUUAAAAAAUAUUUGAUAAUCGAUACUGCUACUACUUUAAAAUUUUCUUUUAAAUACAAUUAAUCAAAAGAAAAGUUUGCCCACAAGCAUAUUUGUAAGGAACUGAAUCCUCUCGUGCGCUUAGGAUGGGAAUCCUUCUGAGUAGUUCAUCAGAGCCGUUCAAACUUGAUCCAAUGACUUUAAAUAUAGAACUUCUCUAAAAGUUAUAAUAAUUGAAGCUGUUGGAUCAAAUUUAAACUGUCUUGAUGGGCUGCUUAAGAAGAUCUCCAUCAUGAGCUUAGGAGAGGAUCCGGUUUCUUUUUUUUGUAAAACAUCUUUCGGUAAAAUAUACGCACUUUCCAAGAAAAUCAUCAAAGAGUAAACAAGAAAAAAAACAUGAAAGAUAUAAAGACGAAAUUGCACAUAAACUAUGUGCAUUCAAACAGAAGAAAAGGUUAUAAUAUAAUCCCUAGUGAAGGACUUAGGUACCGUUUGGUACGUGAGACGGGACGGAAUAGAGUGGGACGAGGCGUUCCGUUUCACGUUUGGUGCACCUAAAACGGGUGGAACGCGCUGUUCCACGGGACGAAUUUUGGGUGAAUUUUCAUUCCGCCUCACCCCCUAAAACGACUCGUUCCACAUCCGUGGAACGCAAAAUUAUAACCUCUCCGUCUCCUUCUUCUUCCUCCUUGUUUCUAUCCGAGGACAUCUUUACUCCUUCUCCGUUCCGUCCUGUACCGUCCCGUCUGCAUACCAAAGGAAGGUGGAAUUGAAUCCAGCUCCUCCUGAUGGAGGAAGUUUCCUAGUGCUAGUGGAGGACACAUGGGAUGGGGCCUUAAUGAAUGUGCAAUAUUCAAAAUCAAUGUUAAAUGGUCAUUAAAGGGCACAUGGGAUGGGGCCUUGCUUUACGCACUUAUUCUUCUUUGACAUGACCAAAUAAGAGAAAAAGCAUUUAUACACAACCGAAAAGUCACUACGAUAGUUAUGAUAAUUCAAUCAUGCACUAUUAAUUAUGUCAUAAAUCCUCAUAGUAAUUAUGCAUAGACUUUUGCACAACUAACAGCUUCAUAGGCCUUUGACUAGAAUUAGAGCCCCUUUUUUUCUUUUCUUUUUUCUUCAAAAACAAAGGUUUAUAUUUUGGAGAGGUUUUUUUCUGUUAAAAGCUGGGAGGGAUUCAGAUAUUGGGGUGCAAUGAGAGUGGGGUGGGGAGGGAUGGGAAAUAGAUUCUCUCUUGAGCAUCUGCUUAGGAUCUUACUAACCCAUACACAAGGGCCGUUAGAUGAAUCCAACGGCUACAAUUAUUUAUAACUUUAAAAAGAUUCUUUAUUUAUAGCUGUUGAAUUUUCAUCUAACGACCCUUGUGUGUGGAUCAGUAGAAUACUCCAUUUCCGGUGGGAUGGGGAAGAGGUUCAAAUUUUUGGAUUAAAAUUUGAAAAAGUGGGCGAUGGUGGGGUGGGGUUCAUUGAUUGCGAGAAGGUGUCAGUUGGGGUAAUAAUAUCAAAUUAUAAAUAAAAUUUUACAAAAUAAAUGAGAUAAAAAUUAAUGAUUAGAUUAUUAUUUAAGAGUUGAUAAACGUAUUUUUAUUAGUAACACAUUAUUUAAUUUACCCAUUUUUUUUACAAAUUUAGCCAUAGGUUUGAGAGAAAGAAGAGACGAAACACUACUCCCAAGCGCGUUUCUUUAUUAUCUUAUACUUGCUCAGCUCACACAUUCACCAUGCAUUUGUUUCCCCACUCCAAGCCUCCCACAACAAAUCAAACCAUUUAUUUGGGAAAAUUUUUAAUAUUUUGUUAUCUCAUCUUUUCUUUAAUUUUAGUAUCUUUGUCCGUACAGUUUGAUACCAAUUUGGCUCGCUUAUAUUUUCAUGAAUAUAGUCAGGACUAGCCCAUGCAUAGUGCGGGUUGGACGACCGUCCGGUGUCCAUAAGAAGUGGGGGCACCAAAAUUAUUAUGAUGGUAUAUUCAUAUAUUUUUUCAUAAGAAUAUACAUAUUUAAAAUUUAUUUAAAUGGUAAAGAAAUUUAACUAGAACUAGUGGAUUUUGUGGUUUGAAAUCUAUGUGCAUGCUUAUUCUUUCAAUUUUUACGAAUUUCUAUUUGGUUGUUAAUUUCUUUUUAAUUACUAGCUAGUAGCUAUAUGGGUUGCAAUUUCUAAACAUUUGUUCAAAUUCAAGUCUAACCUUUCACAAAGAGUAAUGCGUAGACCAAAUUUGCAAAUCAUAUGACGUGUCACCAAUAGUUUUAAAGGAAAACUAAUGAAAAUGGCUAAAAAACUUUGAGUUUUAACGAUAAGGACAAAAUAGAGAUUAAAGUGAAUAGUACCAAAAUUGACUUUUUAGUGUAAAAAUGUGGUUUUUCGUUAAAGUGAACAGUACUGGGAGCUUUUCGUUAAAGUUCCCUAGUUUUAAUUUAAUGCUCAUUCAUUACUUAUACAUAUCAAUAAAGACUACUAAGCCCGCCAAUUUUGACCUUCAGAAGGGAUGGUCGAGGAAGACAACGACGAGGACGAUGACGUGCUUCCUAAAACCUUUUUUCGAUGUAAGCUCAUUGAACCACUACAAGACAAAUUGUCAUUAGCAAUGGUCAAAUGUCAUCGGAAACGAUAUUUUACCAUCGCAAAUACUUAUUUCCAACGGGAAAAAGCUCUCGUUGGGUGUCGAAAGUUGUCUUGUUGGAAAUAAUUUUUUUCAUGCCAGCUAUCGAAAAUACUUUAUUAUCGACGCACAAGACCUGUCGUUAGUGGUUAGUUUUUCGUCAAAAAUGAAUUUUCGAAAUGACAAACUUAUUUUAUGUUUGUCAUGGAAAUAUGGUCGCAAAUACUUAUAUAGUUAUUGAAAUUACUUUCCAAAAGACGACAUAUUUUUUGUGAUGAUGUUGUUCCGACCAAACAAUUGUGUCGGAAAAUCUUUUUCGAACAAAAUAAUCAAUAUUUGUGAGAGUGCACAAUAGUCACAAUUAUAAUCUUUGACCCUUAAAUACUGCUCUAGGCUGUCACAAAUCUUAUUUUAUAUACAAUAGGGUUAUCUUAAAACACCUCAUUGGAAAAAAUAAAAUGAAAGACAUUUCCAAUGGGAAUUGAGGUAAGAAAUAUAUGCUUUCUGGUAAAAAUUCCACUGAGCAUUGUUCAAAAAAUAUUUUGUAUUAUCAUUAAUAAAACAAAUUGUAUAAGAUCAAUGUGGUAAAACCAAUACAUUCAUUACAAACCUAAGAUAUGUGUUUGAACAUAUCUUUAUAUACUAAAACCCAAUCAAGGUGGUACUGUGGAUAAUCAGUGGGCGGACGAUUUUGCCCCUCGAUUUUUCUUCUGUUGACGCAAAUGCCCCUGCUUUUCUCUUUUCUUACCGUUUGUCUCACCCGUUGGCCAUUUUUCUGGUUGACGGAUUUGCCCCAUGGCUUUUUUUAUGGUUUAUGAUUGGUUUUGGUGGUUCUGCAGGGAGAAGGUGGGAAUUGACUGUGCCACGUGUUGGUCAUCGUGUUGCGUUCUUUUAGGGGUUUAUUUUGCUUCGUUUCCGUUUUCUUUCCUUUGUUAUUCCAGUUCCCUCUUCUCUGUCGCUCUCGAUUUAUUUUUCCUUUUGUUCUCCACUAUCUGCUUCCCUUUCGCGCGCUUUGUGUUUUGGUUUUCUCAGCCCUGCUUUUCUCACUUCACAGCUGCUUCCUUCUCUGGACAACUCUGUGGUACGUGAUUUUCUUUCCAUUUUUAUCUUUCUUUAUAGAUUUUUGUGUUAGUUUGUGAAAUGGGUUUUCUUCUGUUGUGUAUUGAGAGAUUGGGUGAUGGGCUCUUAUGGAUUUUAGUGUUUCAAACUCUGAGAGGAGUUACUGCUUGUGGGGAGAGAAGUCUGGGUUUGAGUGAGUUUUCUUCUGUUGUGUACGUUUAGAGAAUUAUUGUUGCCUAAAACUCUAUGAAGGGUUUGCUUUUUUUAUUGUGAACUUAAACAGUCGAAGAAGGUUUAUUUAAUGGUUGAAGAAAUUGACGAUUGUUUGGUCGUCAAAUAUUUCUCCUCUUUUGUUUGUUGAUUUCUUUCUAAUAUUCAAAUAAUUAUUAUUAUGUAAUCCUGAUAGCAUUGUUGCUACAACUCGAAUAGAUAUGUACCAGAGCAUGGGAGAUGCUCUUGCACAGCAGUAUGGUGGCUCUGCAGCUCACAACACUGUAUGUUCUUAUUUUAUUCUUGGGUUAAAGCAUGCAUACAUUAUCAGUUGGUAGAUGUCAUAGAUCAACCCCUAUAUUCUAACGUGAAGUAAAAAAAAAAAAAAACUCUUAACUCUAAUCAGAUGUCCAUUGAAAAGAAAACAAAUCACAUUACAGACCAAUACCUUUUUGCAGUCUUCUUGACAACGACAGCUUAUCUGGGUAUCUUCUGCCAGAGUUCUCGGAGUUGCCAAGCUUAUUAAUGUUGUAUGUUUUCUUACUCGGGAGCAUAAAUUUGUGCCUUAAUUAUGUUUUCAUCCUUUCCUUUCUUGAAUUUUCGUACUGUUGGGAACAAUUUUGUAGACUUUCCUUUUUCUACAACAUAAUUUGAGGGAUGCAAUCUCAUAUCAAGUUUCUUAGCCCUAUAAUCUUAUUUGUUUUGCAGUUAAGUUGACAACAACUUUGGUGGGACUACAAUUCCAGAUUCGUAUAGCAACAUGUCUAAACUGUUCAAGUUGUAAGUGCUGCUUCUGAUUCUAUGUCUUUUAGUAAGUUUAAAGGUAAAAUUGUGUUUUCUAAGGACUACAAUCUCUAUUUAUUCAUACAUCAUAUUUAAAGCUCCAACUGCGGAGGUGUAAAUCCAAUUGAUUUGGGAUUAAUCAUAGCAACAAUAGAGGGAAUCGUAGUUUUUGUUGGGAAACACAUUUCCAACCACUGUGUAGGGAACAUCUUAUGUUUCUAUCUGAUGAUAUAUCACAUUAGGUGAUGGUGCUGGUUGAUUGGAAUGACAAUCGAGAAGUAGCUCUUAAUAUUUAACACGACAAAUCAUGUCAAGAUUGAAUAUCUUUGUGUUUUUGUUGUUUCUUUCAGGAGUUUGAGGAAAUGCAACUUACAAGGGCCUCUUCCUGAUUUCAGUAGGUUUCCAAACCUUGGUUUUGCCAGGUUCAAGUUUAAUUGUGUAAUAAAUGGAGAGAUUGAUCGCCGUCACUCAUAGUUGCGUUUCAGGAAACAAGUUUAUCUCUUGCCAAUUUUGUGUACCCACUUUUUAUUCAUGAUGGUUAGUGUUGAUGCACAAAAUCAGCGAGGACUUUGGUACAACAUAAAGUGUUAAGUUUGAGACCUUCGCUAGAUUGCUCCGGUCACUAGUGUGGAUAAGUAUGUAAAUGGAUAGGGACAGGGUAGCAAACACCAGAUGUACGUGGUUCACCCAGAUUGGCUACGUCCACGGAGUAGAGGAGUUCUCAUUAAUUGUGAAGGGUUUACACAAGUACAUAGGUUCAAGCUCUCCUUUAGUGAGUACUAGUGAAUGAUUUAGUACAAAUGACAUUAGGAAAUAUUGUGGGAGAAUGAUCUCCUUUUAUAGAAGAGAGUUUCUUUCUUUGUUCUGACAUUGACAUGUGUCGUGUUGUGAUUGGCUUCCGAUGUUGACACGUGUCGCGCUAUGAUUGGCUUCUGAUGUCGACACGUGUCGCGCUAUGAUUGGCUUCCUAGUUGGAGGGAAACUCUUAUGGGUCCUUGAUGGUAUAACGUUAACCGGUGCUCGGUAAUUUCAGGAUUGGUCAAGUAUGGUACAAACAGUGUUCCCUUAAGUUCCCGAGUGAGGGAAGCUCCUCGGUUGGGGACUUGCAAGAUCCAAGCCGCUGAGUAAUCACAAAACUUCUAAGUACCAAAGUGUGGUAUCGUCUUCACUUGCCUUAUCUGUCUCAUAAGUAGAUGUGGCAUCUUCUUUGGAAGUACUCUUCCUCCAUCCAGGGGUGGUAUCUUUAACCGGUGGAGAUGCACAAGGUAAUGUAUCAAUUUCACUUGAAGCUUACUUGAAGUUUCAGGCUUGGUCAAGCGCGAUACAAACCAUGUAGUAGGAGUCCCCCAAAUCGCCGAGCUAGGAGAUCUGCCGAAAGAGGUGACAGACAAGGUAAGCAAUCAGAGCUCCAAGCAAUUAGUCCCAGAUCAAAAGUUUGAUUUCGAGUUCCGGCUGAUUGUUCUCAUUCUCCCUAUCUUGCAGGCAGCAUGAAGGAUAAAGAGAAGAAAAAGGAUAAGAGAUGAUAUGAGAUAUUUUUGCUUUCGAAGAAGUAACUUUCCACAGGCUUAUUCUUGAACUAGGCUGAAGGGUUUUCUAGUUUCUUCCAGAGUAUAAGGCCAACUCAAGAAUUUGAGGGUCAAAACAAGUCCAUCAAAUCAAGAGUUCGUUCGACCUUGAUGAUAUGGGAUACUUUUGUUGUUGACAAAGUAGUGAAUGUGGUAUGGCGAUGCUUUGCUCUUUAGCAACGUUGCUAGCGAAAGGCUGUUGAAGUUUCUUGAGCUCUUCGGAUAGGGCAGUGAUGCCGAGCUUAGAUUUGACUUAGACUGCACCGUCUGGAUUAUGCGGUUCUGCAGGGAAGGCGUCGUGCUAUAGUGAUCUGUUUUAGCUCAUCCUUGAACCUUCUGCUUCAAUCUUUUACAACGCAGAAGUGGUGCACAACCUUUGCAUUUGAAUGGUCCUUCAGAGCACUACUUCUUAGCGACUCAUCCAUGCUUGGCAGCUUCAGUGUAAAGAGCUAAUAUCGUAUCAACUGUUCUGAAGUAUUUGCCAAAAGGAUUCGUGACCUUGACAACAGUUGAGGAUGAGUACUCGAGAGCAAUGCUAGGUGAGCAACCAAGCAAAGGUUUCGGGGAAUCAGUUCCAAAUCGGAAGUUUGAUUUCAGGUUCCGACUGAUUGCUUUCUUUCUCCUUGUCUUGCAGGUAAGAGCAAGGGUAAAGGAAAAGACAAGGAAAAAGCAUGAUAUGGGAUACUUUUGCUUUUAACCUUGAUGAUAUGAGAUACUUUUGCUUUGGUAUGGCUUGUUUGCAGAGGUAUUAUCGGGGGAAAGGAAGCUGAGUAUUUCGAGAGGCUUCGUUGGGAGUGCCCUCUCAAGUAUGAGGAAUGGUUGAGCAUUUUUGCAGGUCUGCCUGUCCAUAGAGGGUAGAGGUAGACAUAUAUAGGAGUUUCCUCAACAAUAAGUAGUAAUGUUAUUCCUUUACCCUUCUUUGUCAUAGCAAUGUAGUGGGAGCUGCAAGCUUCACGUGUUUUAACUUUGUCAGAGCAUUUUGAAAAAGUGGUCUGUGGUAUCUGGAAAGCUGAUGUUGCGUGUGAAGAUUGCAGACAAAUUUUAUCCAAGGAAAUCUGGCUCUCGAAGUUCGGAGAGCGGCGCAUUUUCGGUUUUCAAACAAGCAAUCAUGUUGGGGAUCUGGCUCUCAAGAUUCAAAGAGCGUUGCCUCUUCGAUUUUUGAACAAACAAUCCUAUUGGGGAUCUGGCUCUCGAUAUUUAGAGAGCGGUGCCUCUUCGAUUUUUGAGAAAGUGAUCCUGGUAAGAGUUUGGCUCUCGAGAUUCGGAUAGCGGUGCCUUUUCGAUUUUUGAGAAAGUAAUCUUGGUGGGAGUCUGGCUCUUGAGAUUCGGGGAGCGGUGCCUCUUCGAUUUUUUAGAAAGUAAUCCUGUUGGGAGUGUUUUCUCGAUGUGAGUAAAGGUUGGGCAUUUUUGCCAGUCUGCUUUGCCACGGAGCACAGAGGUUGACACACAUAGGGACUUUCCAGUUAUCAAGCAGUGGUGCUAUUCCUUUACCCUUAUGGGUAAUGGUAAGGUAGCUGGACCUUCAAAAUUUAUGUGUCUAAACUUUGUCAGAGAUCUUUGGCAAAGUUAUCUGUGGUACCUGAGGAGCUGAUGUUGCGUGUGGGGAUUGUCGACAUAUUUUAUCAGGAAAAUCUGCUUCUUGAAAUCCGGAGAGUGGUGCUUCUUCGAUUUUUGAACAAACGGCCCUGCUGCCCUUUCUUUUAUAGGGGCACCAAUUGUGUGCAAGAAGUACGUUCAGAAAGUUAUUGCUUGUAGGAAUUUCCCUUUAUUUUCGUACUUCAGAAAUUUAUUGGACCUCAUUUCUCCUUCAUCAUUUCUGAAAAUGCCUGGCCCAUCCGACCGUCGUUUUGACUUGAACUUUGGUAAAGAGGUAGCCAUGCCUCCUCAAGACAAUAUAUGACGCCCAUCCUUCUUAUCCCCUAUUGGUCAUCUUACCGUUGGGGACUCUAUGAUGAAGAAUGAUAUGACCGCUGCGGUGGUGGCCAAAAACCUUCUCACUCCCAAAGAUAACAGACUACUUUCCAAACGGUUUGAUGAGUUGGCUGUUAAGGAUUCUCUGGCUCUCAGUGUUCAGUGUGCAGGUUAUGUGUCUAAUAUGGCCCAACGCCUAUUUGCUCGAACCCGCCAAGUUGAAUCAUUGGCGGCUGAAGGGAUAAGUCUCAAACAGGAUAUUAGAGGGCUCAAGCAUGAGAAUAAACAGUUGCACAUGCUCGCACAUGACUAUGCUACAAACAUGAAGAGGAAGCUUGACCAAAUGCAAGAAUCUGAUGGUCAGAUUUUACUUGAUCAUCAGAGGUUUGUGGGUUUGUUCCAAAGACAUUUAUUACCUUCGUCUUCUGGGGCUGUACCGCGUAAUGAAGCUCCAAAUGAUCAACCUCUGAUGCCUCAUUCUUCUGGGGUUCUGUCCAGUACUGAGGCUCUGAAUGAUCACCCUCCGGUGCCUUUUCUUUCUGGGGCUCUGCCGACUGCUGAGACUCAUCCUGAGCAACCUUUGUGAAGGCUCUAUCUUGUUUGUUUAUUUUGAUUCAUGUAUAAUUACAUAUUUGUAACUUAUCGGAGAUAUCAAUAAAUAAGCUUUGCUUCAUUUCAACGUAUUGUGUUAAAUAUACCAAAGUCUUCUUCACUAAGUUCUUUGAAUUUUUUCUUUUGUUGAAGCUUGUAUGCUGAAGCUUUGUGAGUGAAGCAUGUAGGUUAAGGUAGUGUUCCCUUCAUUUCCCGAGUGAGGAAAACUUCUCAGUUUGAGACUUGAAAAAUCCAAGUCACUGAGUGGUCGUGAGACUUCCGAGUAUCAUGGUGCAGUAGCAUAUGGUAGGAGUCCCCCAAGUCUCUGGUCGAAGGAGUUGACGAACCCGCCAAGUUGAAUCAUUGGCGGCUGAAGUGAUAAGUCUCAAACAGGAGAUUAGAGGGCUCAAGCAUGAGAAUAAACAGUUACACAGGCUCGCACAUGACUAUGCUACAAACAUGAAGAGGAAGCUUGACCAGAUGCAAGAAUCUGAUGGUCAGAUUUUACUUGAUCAUCAGAGGUUUGUGGGUUUGUUCCAAAGGAAUUUAUUGCCUUCGUAUUCUGGGGCUAUACUGCGUAAUGAAGCUCCAAAUGAUCAACCUCCGAUGCCUCAUCCUUCUGGGGUUCUGUCCAGUACUAAGGCUCCGAAUGAUUACCCUCCGGUGCCUUCUCUUUCUAGGGCUCUGCCGACUGCUGAGACUUCUCCUUAGCAACCUUUGUGAAGGCUCCCUCUUGUUUGUUUAUUUUGACUCAUGUAUAUGUACAUAUUUGUAACUUAUCGGAGAUAUCAAUAAAUAAGCUUUGCUUCAUUUCAACGUAUUGUGUUAAAUACACCAAAGCCUUCUUCACUAAGUUCUUUGAAUUUUUUCUUUUGUUGAAGCUUGUAUGUUGAAGCUUUGUGAGUGAAGCAUGUAUGUUGAGGUAGUGCUCCCUUAAUUUCGCAAGUGAGGAAAACUUCUCGGUUGGAGACUUGAAAAAUCCAAGUCACUGAGUGGUCGUGAGACUUCCGAGUAUCAAGGUGCAGUAGCAUAUGGUAGGAGUCCCCCAAGCCUCCGGUCAAGGGAGUUGACGAAUGAGGCAUUUCCUUUCUAAGUGGUAGCCCAAAACUCAUCCUUCAUAUAUAUUUGUUAUGAAAGUUGUUAGGCCCAAAGAAGAGGAGGCCUACACAAGGGUUUCCGAAUAUAUAUAUAUAUAUAUAUAUAUAUUAAGCUUUGUAGGUGAAGCUUUGUUGGGUACCAUGAAUUGAUUUUGCUUCACACUAUCUUGAUCAAGAGUGUGUGAAACUUUUGUAGGUGAAGCUUUUGUGGGUGAAGCUUUUGUGGGUGAAGCUUUUGUAUGUGAAGUUUUUAUGGGUGAAGCUUUUGUAGGUGAAGCUUUUGUUGGUGAAGUUUUUGUGGGUGAAGCUUUUGUGUUGAAGCUUUGUAGGUGAAGCUUUGUAGGUGAAGCUAUUGUGUUGAAGCUGUGUAGGUGAAGCUUUGGAGUUGAAGCUUUGUAGGUGAAGCUUUUGAGUUGAAGCUUUGUAGGUGAAGUUUUGGAGUUGAAGCUUUUGUUGGGUACCAUGAAUUGAUUUUGCUUCACACUAUCUUGAUCAAGAUAGUGUGAAGCUUUUGAGAAUUUGUAGUUGCCCUCCAUUUGUUAAAGCUUUCGUUGGUGAAGCUUUUGUGGUGAAGCUUUGUAGGUGAAGCUUUGUUGGGUACAAUGAAUUGAUUUUGCUUCACACUAUCUUGAUCAAGAUAGUGUGAAGCUUUUGAGAAUUUGUAGUUGCCCUCCAUUUGUUGAAGCUUUUGUUGAAUUUCCCAAUUUCCUUUUUUUUUUGUUUAGAAACUAGAAAUUUGAAAAUGUGGGAGAGACAACAUAUACAAAUUUUGCUUCCACAUUGUUGAGCAAGAGAUUGUGAUGCAAACCACACCUUGUAGUAGUCGAAGGUUUGGAUGAACCAUAUAAAUUGAAUUUGCUUCGAACAGUCUUGAUCAAGAGUGUGUGAAGCUUUCUACGAGUUGUAGUUGCCCUUCAUUGAUGAAACUUUUGUUGGCACCAUAAAUUGGUUUUGCUUCACACUGUCUUGAUCAAGAGUGUGUGAAGCUUUUGAGAAUUGUGGUUGCCCUCCAUUGAUGAAGCUCUUGUUGGCACCAUAAAUUGGUUUUGCUUCACACUGUCUUGAUCAAGAGUGUGUGAAGCUUUUGAGAAUUGUAGUUGCCCUCCAUUGAUGAAGCUCUUGUUGGCACCAUAAAUUGGUUUUGCUUCACACUGUCUUGAUUAAGAGUGUGUGAAGCUUUUGAGAAUUGUGGUUGCCCUCCAUUGAUGAAGCUCUUGUUGGCACCAUAAAUUGGUUUUGCUUCACACUGUCUUGAUCAAGAGUGUGAAGCUUUUGAGAAUUGUGGUUGAACUUCUUUGAUGAAGCUCUUGUUGGCACCAUAAAUUGGUUUUGCUUCACACUGUCUUGAUCAAGAAUGUGUGAAGCUUUUGAGAAUUGUGGUAAUCUCUUGCUGGCACCAUAAAUUGGUUUUGCUUCACACUGUCUUGAUCAAGAAUGUGUGAAGCUUUUGAGAAUUGUCGUUGAACUCCUUUGAUGAAACUCUUGUUGGCACCAUAAAUUGGUUUUGCUUCACACUGUCUUGAUCAAAAGCGUGUGAAGCUUUCUACGAGUUGUAGUGUUUGCAUUGUUACAGAGGAGAAAUGUCUGUAGCAGAUGCAAUAAGGCUGAAUAGCUUAAUCUUCGUAUACCAUGCACUAAAGUUGUUGUUGGCUUGCAAUAAGACUUUGUUGGUGACUAUAACUCUUGUUGGGCAUAAGUGCUCCCCUAGUUGAGUUGUUAAGCUUGAGGGUUUUUGAUUAUUUGUGAAUGCUAGGAGUUCACAUGUACAAGUUGUACCACUCGUCUUCUGGUAGGUGGAAUGAAUGGUGAGUUGUUUUCAUCAUUUGGUUGGUGUGAGUUCCUUCAUCACCUUUCAUCACAUUUCAUCACCUGGUAGGUGGCACGAAUAUGAGUUCCUUCUUCACCUGGUUGGUGGCAUGAAUGGCAAGUUGCCAAAUGAUAUUAGAAUACAGGUUGUACAUUUCAUACCUGGUUGGUGGCAUGAAGGAGAGUACGGGUUGUACAUUUCAUCACCUGGUUGGUAGCAUGAAGAUGAGUUCAUUCUUCACCUGGUUGGUGGCAUGAAUGGCAAGUUGCCAAAUGAUAUUAGAGUACGGGUUGUACAUUUCAUCACCUGGUUGGUGGCAUGAAGGAGAGUACGGGUUGUACAUUUCAUCACCUGUUUGGUGGCAUAAAGAUGAGUUCCUUCUUCACAUUUCAUCACUUGGUUGGUGAGAAUAAGGGCAAGGUGUCGAGGCAUAUUGUAGCAAGUGUCGAAUGACACAAAGUAUGUUGAACACUUUCGAAACACAGUUGGCUUAUGUAUGAAUGUGUUGGAAUGUAUGAUUGAACGAAUAUACUGUGAAGCUGUUUGUUUAUUUGUAUAGUCUUGUUGACAUAUACUUAGACUUUGUUUCAUGUUGGAAGCAUUCAUGUUGAAGCUUUGAACCCGAGUGUUUCAUUGCUAGGAAAGUAAGAGGAUUAUGACCGAGUUGUGUAAAUCACCUCUUUAUUGAAUUCAUGCCAAAUAGUCUUCGUUACAUAGGAUGCCGAACGGCUGAAGCUUAACACUUGUACAAUGUGAUUUUACUUGUAAUAGUACUUCAAGUGAUCAGCGUUCCAUGGAUGGCCAAGGGUCUUGCCAUUGGAGCUUUUAAGCUUGUAGGAGCCAGGGCGACUGAUGCCAACAACUUCAAACGGUCCAUCCCAGUUUGAACUAAGUGUUCAUUCACUCGGGACUCUGUCGCAGAGUAAUCUUUUCUUCAAUACCCAGUCCCCCACUUUGAAAGAACGAGGUUUGACCCUUGAGUCAUAGUAGUUGGCGAUGCGCUGCUUGUAGGCAACAUUCCUCAAGUGAGCUUGGUUUCUGUGUUCCUCGACUAGAUCUAAGUUGAGGGUAAGUUGUUUGUCAUUUUCGCUUUGCACGUAGUUCUGGACUCGGAAUGUUGCUUGCUCAAGCUCAACUGGGACAACUGCCUAUGUACCAAAGGCAAGCGAGAAUGAGGUUUCUCCUGUUGAUGUCCGAUACGAAAUGCGGUAUGACAAAAAAACUUUGGGUACAAAUUCUGGCCAACAACCUUUAGCCUUGUCCAAGCUGGUUUUCAAAGUUUGCUUGAUUAUUUUGUUGAUGGCUUCGACUUGUCCAUUAGACUGGGGAUGAGCUGGGGAGGCAAAACAUAAGUUGAUGUUGAACUUAGAGCAGAACAUCCUGAACUUAUUGUUGUCGAACUGUCGCCCGUUGUCAGUGACUAUCGCAUUGGGAAUGCCGAAUCUGCAAAUGAUGUUCUUCCAUACGAAGUCUUCUAUUUUUGCCUCAGUAAUUGUUGCCAAGGGUUCUACUUCAGCCCACUUUGUGAAGUAGUUAACUGCAACGAUUGCAUAGCGAACCUUGCCCUUCCCUGCAGGCAUUGGGCCGAUCAAAUCAAGUCCCCAUUGGGCGAAGAGCCAAGGGCUGAUCAUAGGAGUGAGCGGCUCGGGAGGGGAGUGAGGAAUAGUUGCGUAGCGUUGACACUUAUCACAUGAGCGAGAUAUUCUGAUGGCAUCUUGGUGGAGUGUUGGCCAGUAAUAUCCUUGGCGAAAAGCUUUGUGUGCUAGGGAUCGAGAUUCAGCAUGAUCUCCGCAGACUCAUUCAUGUAUUUCCCGAAGGACAAUUUUCGCCUCCGCGGGGGUAAGGCAUCUUAGAUAUGGUAGGUUAAACCCCGUUUGUAGAGUUUGUCAUUAAUGAUCAAGUAACGGGUAGCCUUGUAUCGAAUCUGCUUAGCUUGGACUUUAUCGUUUCGGAGGGUACCAUACGCAAGGAAUUUAUAAAUCGGGGUAAUCCAACUAUCCCCCUAUUGUAAGUUGCACACUUCUGUGGCCAUGAUGCUUGGUGCUGCCAACAAUUCGACCUAAAUUUUUCUCCCAAUUUUGUCUUCCACUGCUGAGGCGAGGCGAGCCAAAGCGUCUGCAUGACUGUUUGCCGCUCGAGGAAUUUGGGUGAUCUGGUAGUGGAAGUGCUUGAGCAACAAUUGUGUUUGUGCCAUAUAUGCUGCCAUGGAGCUAUCCUUAGCGUCAAAGUUGUUGGUGACCUGGUUAACCACCAAUUGUGAGUCACUGAAGAUAUCAAUUCGUUUAACCCCAAGGUGUUUGGCCAAACGUAAGCCUGCUAGAAGGGCUUCAUAUUCAUCAUCAUUAUUCGAUGCCUUGAAUUUGAAACGAAGAGCAUACUUCAUUGCCACUUUGUCAGGGGUCAUAAGGACUAGUCCUGCUCCACAACCCUGUUGGUUGGACUAGCCAUCAACAUAUAUACUCCAUGCUGGGGUUGUUGGUUCUAUUUUCUGAACUUCCGAGGGUAAUGAAACCACUUCUUUAGGCGUAGAAACAAUGUCAACAGGAUAUGUGAAGUCGCCGAUGAAGUCUGCCACUGCUUGGCCCUUCUCAGCUGGCUUUGGUUGGUAGGAGAUGUCAAACUCACCCAAUGCUAUCGUCCAUUUGAUUAUUCUCCCCGAAGUGUAUGGACUUUAGAGUAUCUGUCGGUGAGGAUGAUUGGUAAGCACGAUGAUGGAGUGUGCUUGGAAGUAAGGGCGAAGUUUUCGAGCAGACAUGACCAAUGCUACAGCCAAUUUCUCAAUGUUGGAGUAUCGUGUCUCCACAUCUUAUAAGGCCUUGCUAGCGUAGUAGACAGGCCGUUCGACAUUACCAUCCUUUCGAAUAAGAACGAAACUUAUUGCUGAAGCCGAUACCGAUAGAUAGAUAAUGAGAGUGUCACCAACCUCAGGUUUGGCAAGCAAAUGGGCUUUACUCAUGUAGUCCUUGAGGUUCUUGAAUGCCUCGGCACAUUCAUCAGUCCAUGUAAUGUACUUCUUACUUCCUUUAAGUGCUUUGAAGAAAGGAGCAUAUCUGUCUGUGGCCUUAGAGAUGAACCUAGUUAAGGCUGCCACCUUGCCAGUAAGGCUCUAGAUGUCUUUUGAAGCCUAAGCCGAAGGCAUGCCGAAAGCACAUUUGUUGGGGUUCAACCUCAUUCGAUACCUCUUCAGAAUGGUGAAAGUUUCAGAUAGGUUAGUGAUGUGUUGGUCAGCAUGUUUGCUCUUGACUAGCAUAUCAUCAACGUAAAUUCCAUGCUCUUCCCAAUCUGUUCGGCGAACAUUGAAUUGACUAGUCUCUGAUAAGUCGCUCCUGCAUUCUUUAGGCCGAAGGGCAUGACUUUAUAGCAAUAUAGUCCCCUGUCAGUAGUGAAGGUUGUGUGUUCUUGGUCUGGAAGGUUCAUGAGGAUUUGGUUAUAUCCUGAGUAAGCAUCCAUGAAGCUCAGGAGUUCACACCCUGCCGUAGAGUCUAUAAGUUUGUCAAUGAGAUGAAGAGGAAAGAUAUCCUUCGGGCAUCCUUUUGUUUAGGUCGGUGUAGUCGACACACAUUCUCCACAAGACCUUUUGGAGCAGGAGACUUUCUUUGGUCAGAUUUUUCUUAACAAGGACCACAUUUGCUACCCAUGUUGGAUAAUUGACUUCGCGGACGAAGCCUAUGCCUUUGAGUUUUUCAACUUCUGCCUUCAUUGCUUCGUAUCGUUCAUCGUCAUAAAAUCUUCGCUUCUGUCUCACCGGCUUGGUCUUGGGGUUAAUACUCAAGCGAUGACAUAUGAUAUCGGGAGAGAUGCCUGGCAUGUCCUCAUAUGACCAGGCGAAGACCUCAGUGUUCUCUUGCAAAAAAGAGAUCAAUGCCAACUGAAUGGGUGGUGACAAGGUGGUGCCAAUCUUCACUAUACGAUCUGGAUAAUCUUUUGAGAUAGAAACCUUCUCCAACUCUUUAGCGGGUUGUGUUUGUUGGGUGAAAGAGUCAUCUCGAGGAUCGUCGGGUUAACUGUUGCCACCGUGAAGAUCCAAGUUGGCUUCGUCUGAGCUGGUCUUUAUGACUUGGUCAUGUAUAGAAAGGGUUUCCUUGGGCACAGACAUGUGAUGUUGCUUGACCGAGGUGUUGUAACAUGAUCGUGCACUAAGUUGAUCUCCUCUGAUGUAACCAUUGCCAUAAGGGGUUGGAAAUUUCAUCAACAACAUAUGUGUGGAUACCAUGGCCUUGAGGUCAUUGAUGCAUGUGCGUGCAAAGAUGACAUUGUAUGUCGUUAGACAAUCAACCACCAGGAAGUUAGUGGUAAUGGUAGUUGUGUAAGGGCCUGUACCAAUGGUGAAAGGUAAGUGUAUACUCCCUAAAGGUUGCAUGAUAUCAAUGGAGAAGCUUAUCAGAGGAGAAAUCGAGUGAUCGAGCAAGUGUUCAGCUACAUUAAGUGCCCUGACAGUUUCAGCAAACAUGAUAUUGACCGAAGCCCCCAUGUCUACCAGGAUUCGUCGUACUUCAAAGUUGGCUAUGUGAGCUUCCACGAUCAGUGGGUCGUUGUGAGGGUAGAUGAUACCUCUUUCUUCCUCAGGGUAGAAACAUAUUGGAUCCUAGUUAUGCUUUUGAUACUUGCCUCCUCUGAUGUCUUCCACAUGAAACACUUGGUGGCUAGGCCUUAAAGCUCGUUCGCUGUUUUUCAUGGCCUAUUGGAAGAUUCAGAUAUGGGUGUGCCACCGCUUAUGGAAUAUAUCACAUUCACUUGGCGUUGGUUACGGUUAUCCCUUGAAGGGUGAAUGAGGAAUCGAUCAAUUUUUCCUUCACGCGCCAAAGCUUCAAUAUGAUUACGAAGAGUGAUACACUUCUCGCCGUCAUGGUCGUUAUGCUCAUGGUAGCAGCAAAACAUGCCCGUGUUCUUCGUGGGCAUGUAACUCGACUGCCUCGGUAUUGGCUUCGGUAUCAAGUGUGCUAUACUGGGGUAAAUGGCCACGCAUGUGGCUUUCAAAAGUGUGUAUGUCUCAUACCUCGGGGUAGGGCCUGUCCUGACACGUGCUUGGCCCACUGUGUUGACUGCCUGGGGGCGGGCAUUAUCGUGGCGAUACCCUUGGUUAUCGCGAUAGUGUCUCUUACUCCUUUUACUAAAAUGAGACUGGUGAAGAUGGAAAUCUUUCCUUUUGCCCUGAGAUUGAUAUGUCUGUUGACUUGGCGAAGUAUUAAGUAAGGCAGGGGGAGGCACUGCUGCCGUUUGGAAGGUCGAGGUCUUCUCAUUUGGUUGGAUCUGGCUUCCACUCCCUACUUGCUGAUAAGGGGUGGCUGUGGGGGGUUUUCCUUGAUAUGCCAUUGCCUCGACGGAGGCAUGGUUAUAAGCCUGCGCCAUCACCUCAGAGUAAGUCUUCCAAGUGUUGGCAUUGAUCAUGUAUUUAAAGAAUCAGUCAUGUAGGCCUACCGUGAAGGCUUUGAGGGCAGUCUUGUCGUCUGCCCUGGCACAACGGGAAUACUCAUGGCUGAAACGGCCAGCAUACAUAUGUAAUGACUCGUCUGGCUUCUGGCGAAUAGUGUACAAGUCAUCCGCAGAGUGCAAGCGAUCAGUCUGGAAAAUGUGUUGAGAAACAAACAAUUUCCUCAAUUCCUUAAAUGAGUCUACUGUCUCAGGUGGAAGAUGGUUAGAGCUCCGCCAGAGAGGGUGGAGGGGAAGAGAAGACAUCGCUCUUCGUCGGUGUCACGCCCCGUCCCAAAAACAAUAUAUUUCGAGAAUUAAUUAUGAUAGGCCCAACUUAAAAAUGUAGAUAAUUUUAUUUCUUUUAAUCACAUCCCUCUAAGUCAAUAUUACUCUCUGUUACCAGCUAUCCAUAUUUUCUUAAAUGUCAAACAUCUCUUUAAGUAAACACUAAUUCUCGAUUGUUUAGUCUCACUUAUUUUAUGGCUGCGUCUAACGUCUCGUUAGACUGCCUACGUACCCUAAACAGGGAUCAAGCCAUUCGUAGUUCACAAAUUCAAAUUCAAUUGAAUUAUGAUAUUCUUACACAUAAUUAACAAUCACCAACUAGCUUCAUACAAGUGUAUCACAUUGAAUGCUUAUUUAACUUGAAUCUAGAACAUCAAAAUUAGCGUAAGAAUACGGCGUUGACUCCCUGGCCACGCGCCGCCGCCGGUGGCGGUCGGCCGUCCCUACUUGCCGCAAAUUUCAACUAUUUUUAAAAAUUCUCAAAAAUUACAGAAAUGAAGAUCUCAAAGAGUAGAGCAAACUUUAUACCUGUGGCCAAGCCCAAUUUGGCCUGGAAAGGCUCCAAUUUGCCUCAAACACGCCGGUACCCUAGAAUUUGGGUGUCCUCGACUCGACUCCAUAGCAGCUCCGACGCCCCAAACCUUGUUUGGGCUUUGUUCCUAGGUUCUCAAGGAACAUGUUGGUGGUGGUAAUUGAAAGAGUUUGUUUCAGAUUUGGUGGAUCGCCACCUAUGAACUCACGCACCCACCGGUGUGGUUUUGCACAGUUUCAAGGCCAAUAACUAUCUAAUUUAUGAUAGAAUCAGUCAAGGGGAGGUCAUGGAACAUUUUUAAGGUGGUUUGGUAACAUAAUUCGUCAAAAAACCCGACGAAAAGCCACCGGAGGAGGUGGAGAAAAUCGGGUCGGGUCGAUAGCAUAGAACCGGCUCUAAGGAUCCGGUGCACUUCCUUCCUCUCCUUUCCCCUCCUUUCUCUCUUCUCUCAUUGGUCACUCUCACAUCCCCCCUUUCCUGAUUGGCCCUUCUCUCCCUCAUUUCUCUCCUUUAUCGUCCAUCUCCACCGCCUAACUUUUCUUACUUUUAAUCUGGGCCACACACGUGGCCUUCCGGAUUUGGCUCCAAAAAUCUGGAGCAUUCUAGAAAUGAUAAAUUUACAAUUUUACCCUCGACUUUAAACGUUAAUAACUUCCUCGUUAUAACUCCAUUUCACGAACGGUUUACGCCCACGCGUUCGUGAGGUCAAGCUCUAUUCAAAAAUAUAAAUUGUGACCUCAAAAGGUUCUAUGAAUUUUAAAUAGUUAAUUUCCAAAUUGUAAACCUCGUAACUAGUUUAAUUUAAAACUAAACUUACACAAAUUAUUAUAAAUUCUUGAAAAAUCAUAUAAAAGCUCAAUAAUACAAAUAUGUAGAUUAUUAUAAUUUUUGGAAACAAAACUUUAAAAGUUCUCAAUUUUAAAAGUUCUCGAUUAAAUUCUUCAUAAUCAUAAAUCGAUUUAUUUUCGAUUUUCUCCACAUACUCAUAUAUUUAAAUUUUUCAGGGUAUUACAGUCGGUGUGCAUCCGGUAUGCCAUGGUGGACUCAAAGAGGUUAAGGUGUUCAAUCGGGUCCUCUUUUACAGUAUAGAGUUGCAAGCCAAGCUUCUGCUUUGUCUUUGCCUGGAGGGGGUGUCGAGGAUCCUCCUUAUAAGAGGGCCAGGUCUAGGUUGGUUCUAAUCAGGUAUCUCAGCUUGUCGUUCGGCCCUCAACUUGUUUACUUCCUUAAGGAGUUGUAGGACAAGAAGGUCCUGAGUGGAGUCAUGUACCACUGGAGCUUUCUUUCGUAAAUCUCCAUCUCCUCUUGAGAGUAGGAAGGUUUGAUCAAGAGCAUGUGAUUUUUCCCUGGACUCGCCGUACUAACUUCCAAGGUAUGUCUGUCGGAACAUCUCUGAGUCCCCUCUACCUUCGUGUUUCUCUAGGACUUGUUGCCCCUUCCCCAAAUUGGUAGCCGGCCUGGGACAUGGAAGGGGAUCGAGUCUUUCAGAGACCCUUGGGUCAUUGAUCUUCGAGCUUACAUGGAUGGGAUUGUCUCGACGUUGCUUUAGGAAGUCUCGACAGUCGCGAAAGACGACUUUCGAUCUUUCCACUCCUUCUGUAAGGAUGUGCCUUCCUCCACUCCUCCUGCUUCGGGUCGAAGCAGCUGGGUUGAGAGAAGUCUCAUGUUGGUCGCCAUUUUGAUGAGUAGCUCGCUCCUCAACAAGAAUACCCAUGUCGAAGGCAAAUAACCCUCCAUGUUGAGGGGCACCCAGUUGAUGGUUGACUUCCACAUGGGUGAUGAGCUCGUGUGUUUUAGUAUAUCUAGCCUCGUGGAGCAUCUUAAAGACCUUCUCAUACUGCUCUUAGAGGAUCUCAUUCUUCAUCGCUUCUUUCGUUGCUUCGCACCAGGUGCAAGAGAGGUGUCAUUCUGUGUGUUGUGGCUUCCUUCACUCCCCAUGUUGGAAAGGGAUGCCUGGUCAAAAAAUAGUGUACGAAUGGUGGAAACCAGCUUAAAAAAGCUGAAGAGAGUGGGAAUAAGUGUCGUUCCCACAGACGGCGCCAAAUGUUGAUGCACAAAAUCAGCGAGGACUUUGGUACAACAGAAAGUGUUAAGUUUGUGACCUUCGCUAGAUUGCUCUGGUCACUAGUGUGGAUAAGUAUGUAAAUGGAUAGGGAAAGGAAAGCAAACACCAGAUGUACGUGGUUCAACCAGAUUGGCUACGUCCACGGAGUAGAAGAGUUCUCAUUAAUUGUGAGGGUUUACAUAAGUACAUAGGUUCAAGCUCUCCUUUAGUGAGUACUAGUGAAUGAUUUAGUACAAAUGACAUUAGGAAAUAUUGUGGGAGAAUGAUCUCCUUUUAUAGAAGAGAGUUUCUAGCUUUUUCUGACAUUGACACGUGUCGUGUUGUGAUUGGCUUUCGAUGUUGACACAUGUCGCGCUAUGAUUGGCUUCUGAUGUCGACACGUGUCGCGCUGUGGUUGGCCUUCUGGUUGGAGGGAAACUCUUCUAGGUCCUUGAUGGUAUAACGUUGACCGGUGCUCGGUAGUUUCGGGAUUGGUCAAGUAUGGUACAAACAGUUAGUGCUCGCUUGCAACCCAAUUUGCUGCUAUAAAGUUUUGUGUUUUACAAUAUGUUCAUGCUUAAACCUGUUCCAAUUUUGAAGGUCAAGAUGGGACACCUAUCUGGGCAAUGUUGGGAUGUCUAGGCUUGGGUAGAGAUGUGGACUUAUGGAAGUGGUGAAGUAGCUUAGCUCUAUCUCAUUAGCUCUCAUAUGUUCUGUUUAAGCUCAUUGGUGCUGGCUCUGAGGUUUUUCGAAGCUCUCCGUUUUCGAAAUCUGAAGCUUAGAAUCCCAUUCAACCACAAGGAACUAGAAUAAUUGAAAAAAAAAUGUUUUGACGUCCAAAAAGAAGCAUGUGCAAUCCUCUAAUUUUAUUAAUAUAAAAGAAGUGAUGCAAAUCCAGUAAAGAUGUAAAUAAGAGCUAUUAGUGGGAAAAAAUAGUUGUAUAAUUCCGGGCCUUGAAGAAGGCUACAAAGUAUAUGAGAAUAACGUAUCUAUAUAGUGUUUAUGUUUGUUCAUUUCUCCCUUACGGUUUUUUAUGCCUGUUAACACUUGAAUAAUGAUGCAGGUCAAUCAAGCAAAUAAGAUUCAUAAAGAAAACUCCACAUCUGUUGCCAGUAAUGCUCAUGGGCAGAAGUAUAGGAAACCAAAGCCUACAAAUAUGAAGCCUUUUAGGUUUAGAACUGAUGUAUGUGAAACUUGUUGUGACCAAUUUCUUUAAUAAGUAUUAGUAGCGUUGAUGCUUAAUAUGAUACGUUUUGGGCUUUUUUUUAGGAAAGAGGGAUGUUUAAGGAAGCAACUUUGGAGAAAAAAGCUCAUACACCACUGAAGGAGAUCACAUUAGUCAGGACUCCAGGGGCAAAGUCAACAAGCAAACAUCAGAAUGUGAUACAGGUAUACUUGGGAGCUACAAGUGCUUUGUAUGUGGUUUGAAUAUGAACAAUUACAUUGUGUAUCACCGUCAUAUAGGCAAAUUUGUUAUGUGUGAUGGUGUAUUGACACAUGACUAAAAUGGAUUAUCUAAUUUUAUGCAAUUUAUAAUUUUGGGUUUCUCUAAUUUUCUGCUUUUUUGUGAUUUAUUUGAUGAAAGUUUCAAUCUUCAGGUACAUUUUUCAUAUAUGUACUCAUCAAAUGUCACGAUUACUGUUCCUCUGGUUUUUUGGGCUACAAAUUAAAUUUUGGGGUUGUUUAAAUUUGUUUAAUUUGGUCCAAAAUUAAUUGAUUUGAUGUUCUAGGUUCUUUGUAGGCAAAACAUUGGACCAGUUGGUCAUAUUUGGAAGAGAAAACGAAGAUGGAGUUCUUGGUGUUGCAUGAAGUUGAUGUGUCCUGUCUCCAAUGGAAUAAAUUUGAUGUCACCAUCUUCAGCAUUCCUCAUGCAGACCAUUACUCUUGACUAAGUGAAAAGUACUCGGACCUUAUUGAGUAAGUCACUAAUUAUUCAUUUCAAUUAAAUGCUGAUUAUGAUAUUAUGUGUAAAUAGGAUUGUAAAUAUAUUGUACAUAAAAUUUUCAAUCUCGCAGCAACGCGCGGGCACCAUUGCUAGUUAACACUAGUCCUCAAACUCCGAAAUGCAAACUUGAAUUGUUUCGAAGAUGUGCUGAUAAAAGCAUCUUCCCCUUUGUACAUACAGUGUAUGUAGCUCCUUCGUAACUCCUCAUAUAUCUCACUGUGCCAAAACCACACAACCAAAAUUUAAUUAAAAGCAUACAUACGUGUGUGGGUGAAAACAAAUGUGAAAUUAAAGAUGAUAGGGUGCAUACCAGGCCUGUUCUUUUCUAUGGAAUGCAUCAAUUGUAGGUCACAAUUCUAUCACAACGAGAUACCCUUGUAAUAAACAAAUGCAAAGACAUGUUAAUAAAUUUGAAAACCAGCGAAGAGAAGGAGCACCAUCCGAGAGCUGGCUUAUAUGCCUCCCACUUCCUAUACACUCUCAUCCCUUUUAUUUUGGGUGGUCACGGUUAAGUCAUGUCAAUAUUUUGUAUUGAUUUUUUUAUAGAAAUAAUAAGACAAAAAGUAAUAGUAAUAUAAAAUGUUGACGUGAUUUAACCGUGACCGUACAAAUAAGAAGGGAUAAGAGUGUAUGGGAAGUGGGAGGGCAGAGAAGCUAGCUCCCACCAAUUGACGUGAGGGCUCCCCUCACGCUAUUACCGCGCUAAGCCUCCCACAAUGAAUCAAACCAUUUACUUAGGACAAUUUUUUAAAACUUUUUGUUUUCUCAUCUUUUUCUUCAUCUCAGCAAAAAUACAAGUAUACGAAAAUAACAAGGGAACUUAAACGAAAAGCUUCCGGUAAUGUUCAUUUUAACGAAAAACCACAUUUUUACACUAAAAAGUCAAUCCUGGUACUAUUCAUUUUACUCUUUAUUUUGUCCUUAUCAUUAAAACUCAAAGUUUUCAAGCCCUUUUCAUUAGUUUUCCUAAAUCCUCCUUUUUCAGUAUAUACUAUAUUAGUACAUGUUAGCCCAUUUGAUAUUAUUGUCUUCAUUUUUUUUCAUUAUAUACUAUAUUAGUAGAUUGUUGAAUUAAAAGUCCAAGUCAUCUUCAGUAUAUGCUAUAUUAGUAGAUUGCUAGCGUCUAGACAGGACCUAAGCUUCCGCUUAGAUAAAUUAGACGGUUUUAAGAAAAUUUAUUAUAUAGCUUUAUUAUAUAAAUAAAUUAUACUAGAAAAAAAAAACAAUAAAGCGUUACUAAAAAAAUAGAAAAAUAUUAUUUGCUAAUUAAUCUUGGUUAAUCACUACAACAACAACAACAACAACAACAACAAAGCCUUUUCCCACUAAGUGGGGUCGGCUAUAUGAAUCCUAGAACGUCAUUGCGCUCGGUUUUGUGUCAUGUCCUCCGUUAGAUCCAAGUACUCUAAGCCUUUUCUUAGAGUCUCUUCCAAAGUUUUCCUAGGCCUUCCUCUACCCCUUCAGCCCUGAACCUCUGUCCCGUAGUCACAUCUUCGAACCGGAGCGUCAGUCGGCCUUCUUUGCACAUGUCCAAAUCACCGGAACCGAUUUUCUCUCAUCUUUCCUUCAAUUUCGGCUACUCCUACUUUACCUCGGAUAUCCUCAUUCUCAAUCUUAUCCUUUCUCGUGUGCCCACACAUCCCACGAAGCAUCCUCAUCUCCGCUACAUCCAUUUUGUGUACGUGUUGAUGUUUCACCGCCCAACAUUCUGUGUCAUACAACAUCGCUGGCCUUAUUGCCGUCUUAUAAAAUUUUCCCUUGAGCUUCAGUGGCCUACGACGGUCACACAACACGCCGGAUGCACUCUUACACUUCAUCCAUCCAGCUCGUAUUCUAUGGUUGAGAUCUCCAUCUAAUUCUCCGUUCUCUUGCAAGAUAGAUCCUAGGUAGCGAAAACGGUCACUUUUUGUGAUCUUCGCUAGAUUGCUCCGGUCAUUAGUGUGGAUAACUAUAUAAAUGGAUAGAGAUAGGAAAGCAAACACAAGAUGUACGUGGUUCACCCAGAUUGGCUACGUCCACGGAAUAGAAGAGUUCUCAUUAAUUGUGAAGGGUUUACACAAGUACAUAGGUUCAAGCUCUCCUUUAGUGAGUACAAGUGAAUGAUUUAGUACAAAUGACAUUAGAGUACAAGUGACAUUAGGAAAUAUUGUGGGAGAAUGAUCUCGUAAUCACGAAACUUCUAAGUAUCGGAGUGUGGUAUCAUCUUGACUUGCCUUAUCUGUCUCAUAGGUAGAUGUGGCAGCUUCUCUGGAAGUACUCUUCCUCCAUCCAGGGGUGGUAUCUUUAACUUUAACUGGUGAAGAUGCACAAGGUAAUGUAUCAAUUUCACUUGAAGCUUACUUGUAGUUUCAGGCUUGGUCAAGUGCGAUACAAACCAUGUAGUAGGGGUCCCCCAAGUCGCCGAGCUAGGGGAUCUGCUGAAAGAGGUGACAGACAAGGUAAGCAAUCAGAGCUCCGGCUGAUUGUUCACCUUCUCCCCAUCUUGCAGCAGCAUGAAGGAUAAAGAAGAUAAAGAGAAGAAAAAUGAGAAGAUAUGAUAUGGGAUACUUUUGCUUUUGAAGAAGUAACUUUCCACAGGCUUAUUCUUGAACUGAGCUGGAGGGUUUUCUGGUUUCCUCCAGAGUAUAAGGCCGACUGAAGAAUUUGAGGGUCAAAACAAGUCCAUCAAAUCUAGAGUACGUUCGACCUUGCUGAUAUGGGAUACUUUUGCUUUUGACAGAGUAAUGGAUGUAUCAGCACGUGUGCUGUUACGCUUGUCUCCACAUGCUUCCUUGUAUCCUUCGCACUUGCCCUAUCUGUUCCUCAAGUAGAUGCGGUAUCUUCCCUGGAAACAUAAGGUGUUGAAGAUGAGUACUCAAGAGCAAUGCCAGGUAAGUAAUCAGGUAAGGGGUUCCAGGCAGUCAGUUCCUGGCUGGGAGCUUGAUUUCAAGUGCUGACUGAUUGCUCUCUUUCUCCUUGUCUUGCAGGUAAAAACAAGGCCAAAGGAAAAGACAGGGAAAAAGCAUGAUAUGGGAUACUCUUGCUUUUAACCCUGAUGAUAUGAGAUAUUCUUGCUCUAGUAUAGCUUGUUUGCAAAGAUAUUAUCGGGGGGGGGGGGAAAGAAAGCUGAAUAUUUCGAAAGGUUUCGUUGGGAGUGCCCUCUCAGAUAUGAGGAAUGGUUGAGCAUUUUUGCAGGUCUGCCUGUCCGUUGGGGAUGGAGGUCGACAUAUAUAGAAGUCUCCCUAACAACAAGUAGUAAUGCUAUUCCUUUACCCUGCUUGGUCAUAGCACGGUAGUGGGAGCUGCCAGCUUCACAUGUUUUAACUCUGUCAGAGCACUUUGAAAAAGUGGUAUGUGGUAUCUGGCUCUCGAGAUUCGGAGAACGAUGCUUCUUUGAUUUUUGAGAAAGCAAUCAUGCUAGGGGUCUGGCUCUCGAGAUUCGGGGAGCAGUGUCUCUUCGAUUUUUGAGAAAGUAAUCAUGUUGGGAGUCUGGCUCUCGAGAUUCGAAGGGCGGUGCCUCUUCGAUUUUGGAGUAAGCAAUCUUGUUGGGAGUGUUUUCUCGGAUGUGAGUAAAGGUUGGGCAUGUUUGCUAGUCUACCUUGCCACGAAGCACGGAGGUUGACACACAGGGAUUUUCCAAUUAUCCAGCAGUGGUACUGUUCCUUUACCCUUGUGGGUAAUAAUAUGGUAGCUAGACCUUCAAAAUUUAUGUGUCUAAACUUUGUUAGUGCUGUUUCUUUGUUAUUCUUUUACCUUUCUUGGUCAGAGCGAUGUAGUGGGAGCUGCAAGCUUUACGUGCUCAACUUUGGCAGAGACUUUGACAAAGUUAUCUGUGGUACCCAUGAGCUAUUGUUGCGUGUGGGAAGUGGGUGAUUGAACAGUAAGAUUCAUGUGCUUUCUACUUCACCAGAAGUCUUCGACAGAAUGCCCAUAAUUUCCGCAAAGCUGAGUGUGCGUGUGACAGGUGCUGACAAGGCUAGAAAAGUAGGUGCCUCUUCGAUUUCUGAGAUCGGCCAUCGUGGUCUCUGAGCAGCCCAGCUUUUGAGAAAGCGAGCGCCUCUUUGAUUGAUUCGGAAAACGAUGCCUCUUCGAUUUUUGAGAAAGCAAUUAUGCUGAGGGUCUGGCUCUCGAGAUUCGGGGAGCAGUGUCUCUUCGAUUUUUGAGAAAGUAAUCAUGUUGGGAGUCUGGCUCUCGAGAUUCGGAGGGCGGUGCCUCUUCGAUUUUGGAGCAAGCAAUCUUGUUGGGAGUGUUUUCUCGAAUGUGAGUAAAGGUUGGGCAUGUUUGCUAGUCUACCUUGCCACGAAGCACAGAAGUUGACACACAGGGACUUUCCAAUUAUCCAGCAAUGGUACUGUUCCUUUACCCUCUCUUCGAUUUUUGAGAAAGUAGUCAUGUUGGGAGUCUGGCUCUCGAGAUUCGGAGGACGGUGCCUCUUCGAUUUUGGAGCAAGCAAUCUUAUUGGGAGUGUUUUCUCGAAUGUGAGUAAAGGUUGGGCAUGUUUGCUAGUCUACCUUGCCACGAGGCACAGAGGUUGACACACAGGGACUUUCCAAUUAUCCAGCAAUGGUACUGUUCCUUUACCCUUGUGGGUAAUAAUAUGGUAGUUAGACCUUCAAAAUUUAUGGGUCUAAACUUUGUUAGUGCUGUUUCUUUGCUAUUCUUUUACCCUUCUUGGUCAGAGCGAUGUAGUGGGAGCUGCAAGCUUCACGUGCUCAACUUUGGCAGAGAACUUUGGCAAAGUUAUCUGUGGUACCCAUGAGCUAUUGUUGCGUGUGGGAAGUGGGUGAUUGGACAGUAAGAUUCAUGUGUUUUCUACUUCCCCAGAAGUCUUCGACAGAAUACCCAUAAUUUCCGCAAAGCUGAGUGUGCGUGUGACAGAUGCUGACAAGGCUGGAAAAGUAGGUGCCUCUUCGAUUUCUGAGAUCGGCCCUCGUGGUCUCUGAGGAGCCCAGCUUUUGAGACAGCGAGCGCCUCUUCGAUUUCUGAGAUCGGCUUUCGUGGUCUUUGAGCAGCCCAACUUUUGAGAAAGCAAACACCUCUUCGAUUUAUGAGAUCAACCCUCGUGGUCUCUAAGCAGCCCAGCUUUUGAGAAAGCAAACGCCUCUUCGAUUUCUGAGCAGGCGCCUCUUCGAUGUCUGAAGCUCCGUCGAGUGCAGCUUUUUAUAGGGGCUGGCAUUAAGUUCCAAAGCACACUUGAAUCUCCACCAGUAGAAGCUCCAUUCUUGCACUUCUAAGAUCUUAAUUUGUUCGACCUCUUCUCUCUUCAACACCUUUGAAAAUGUCUGGCCCCUCCGACCGUCGUUUUGACUUGAACCUUGUUGAAGAGGCAGCCCCGCCUUCUCCAGACAACAUAUGGCGCCCAUCCUUCGUCUCCCCUACUGGUCCUCUUACCGUUGGGGAUUCCGUGAUGAAGAAUGAUAUGACCGCUGCGGUGGUGGCCAGGAACCUUCUCACUCCCAAAGAUAACAGACUACUUUCCAAACGGUCUGAUGAGUUAGCUGUUAAGGAUUCGCUGGCUCUCAGUGUUCAGUGUGCAGGUUCUGUGUCUAAUAUGGCCCAACGCCUAUUUGCUCGAACCCGCCAAGUUGAAUCAUUGGCGGCCGAAGUGAUGAGUCUCAAACAGGAGAUUAGAGGGCUCAAGCAUGAGAAUAAACAGUUGCACCGGCUCGCACAUGACUAUGCUACAAACAUGAAGAGGAAGCUUGACCAGAUGAAGGAAACUGAUGGUUAGGUUUUACUUGAUCAUCAGAGAUUUGUGGGUUUGUUCCAAAGGCAUUUAUUGCCUUCGUCUUCUGGGGCUGUACCGCGUAAUGAAGCUCCAAAUGAUCAACCUCUGAUGCCUC